This is a non-coding RNA of Cercophora sp. LCS_1, 103 nucleotides long. Lineage: Eukaryota; Fungi; Ascomycota; Sordariomycetes; Sordariales; Lasiosphaeriaceae. The record is from the annotation of a GenBank genome assembly.
GGCACUAUGGCCGAGUGGUUAAGGCGGUAGAUUUAAGUUGAGAGAACCAGCUCUAACUCCUCUACUCUCGAAAGAGGCGUGGGUUCGAACCCCACUGGUGUCA